UGGGUGACCUGCCUUUCAGUGAGGAAUACCGGCGAGAAAUCGCCGACAAUGCCGCAUACGCUCGCGGGAUCAUAGCCGUGAGCAAAGCUCCGCAAGGGGCGCUGGAAGAGGGGCCCGUGGCCGAUUAGCUGGUUGGUGGGGUAACGGCCUACCAAGGCGACGAUCGGUAGCUGGUCUGAGAGGACGAUCAGCCACACUGGGAUUGAGAACGGCCCAG
RNAcentral lists this ribosomal RNA (217 nucleotides) under uncultured bacterium. RNAcentral's name for it is "partial 16S ribosomal RNA". It matches the Rfam family "Bacterial small subunit ribosomal RNA", at positions 118 to 334 of the family's 1533-position model. The record is from RNAcentral.